This 674-nucleotide ribosomal RNA is filed under the name uncultured bacterium. Its description in RNAcentral is "bacterial SSU rRNA". It matches the Rfam family "Bacterial small subunit ribosomal RNA", at positions 44 to 764 of the family's 1533-position model. The record is from RNAcentral.
CGGCAGCUUACCAUGCAGUCGAGCGCACCUUCGGGUGAGCGGCGGACGGGUUAGUAACGCGUGGGUAUAUGCCCUUCUCUACGGAAUAGCCUCGGGAAACUGAGAGUAAUACCGUAUACGCCCUUCGGGGGAAAGAUUUAUCGGAGAAGAUUAGCCCGCGUUGGAUUAGGUAGUUGGUGGGGUAAUGGGCCCACCAAGCCGACGAUCCAUAGCUGGGUUUGAGAGGAUGAUCAGCAACACUGGGACUGAGACACGGCCCAGACUCCUACGGGGAGGCAGCAGUGGGGAAUAUUGGACAAUGGGGCGCAAGCCUGAUCCAGCCAUUACCUCGUGUGUGAAGAAGGCCUUAGGGUUGUAAAGCACUUUCAUUUGGGACGAAAAGUUCAAAGUUAUACCUUUUGGACCUUGACGUACCUUUAGAAGAAGCGCGGCUAACUCCGUGCCCCCACCGCGGUAAUACGGAGGGUGCAGCGUUAAUCGGAUUACUGGGCUAAAGCGCGCGUAGUGGUUGGUAGUCAGAUGUGAAGCCCGGGCUCACUGGGACUGCUUUGAUACUGCCUAACUGAGUAUGGAGAGGGAAGUGAAUUCCACAUGUAGCGUGAAAUGCGUAGAGAUGUGAAGAACACCAGUGCAAGGGAUUCCUGGACCAUACUGAAGUGAGGUGCGAAGCGUGG